CAGUGGUUGAGUAACUGUGUGGGGAAAAUGAACUACACAACCUUCUUUAAGGCUUAGUUGAAUUGAAUCACAGUAUUAGUGGAGCAUCCUUCUGCGAAACAUGGCUUGCAACGAUUUGAGCCAAAAUAUCCCUCAUUCUUUACCAACCAUGAAGAAACUGAGACAUCUGUGUUGAGGGAUGAAAAUGGAGUGGGGAAGAGGCAUUAGUCCUUGGAGAUGUGAUCAGCAUCAAGUUGGGAGACAUUGUGCCUGAUGAUGCCUGUCUCUCGGAGGGAGAUCCUCUUAAGAUUUACCAUUCUUCACUAAUGGUGAGUCCUUGCGUGUCACAAGAUUGAGUACUCUUCAUUUGAUUUGCGGUAGAAGAGAAUUUGUCAAAUCUGAAUUUGUUCAUUUUGACACUAAAAAUCUGUUUGUGUGGUGUUUUCUAACUGCUAUUACCUUCACUUCGUAGCUUGUCUUUUUUCAUGACUUGUUUUGUUUUGGGUUAUCAAGU
Molecule: long non-coding RNA, 493 nt
Organism: Lotus japonicus
Lineage: Eukaryota; Viridiplantae; Streptophyta; Magnoliopsida; Fabales; Fabaceae
Exons: 3
Source: RefSeq, a predicted model, not a curated record